CACUCACGGAGGGCGGUGCCAGUCCGCGUGCCCCCUCCGCGCCUGGGGGUCAGUCACAAACGAACGUCUCAGAGAUGGCGCGAGAAUGCGAAACGCAGAGAUUUGAGGCGCUCACCCAGAGACCCUCUGGUGUCCAAUUUUAUAG
Molecule: non-coding RNA, 145 nt
Organism: Caenorhabditis elegans
Lineage: Eukaryota; Metazoa; Nematoda; Chromadorea; Rhabditida; Rhabditidae
Source: Ensembl